AUUUGCAGUUCUUUUUUUUUAAACCUAAAGGAAUUCUGAAAUUUCGUACAAAUGUUUGUUUAGUUGUACUAUAAUUGUACAUUGUUUUCAGCAGAACCAAGAAAAUAUCUCCCUCCACUUCUCUUAAAAUUGAGUGAGAGACCACCAGAGCAUCUGCAGUACCUUGGAGUGUCAUUUGGGCUCACAGCAACUCUCCUUAAAUUCUGGAAAAGAGCAGAGUUUGUACCAGUUUAUUUGAGGCAAUUGUUCUUGGCCUAGGCCUGCAAUACAAAACUGUGUAUAAUUCUGCAUCAGAGUUGGAGCUACCAACAUUACAACUCUUGGGCCUCUUCAACUGAACAAUUCGUCAACGUGUUCAGUAUCUAAGAGGCAUUCUGGAACACUCCAUAGAACUGGGUCUAGUCCGAUCAAGAACUGAUGUCACAUUGAACCCCAUUGCCGAGAGCAUGCAUGAUGAGUUAGAGAAGGCAAAAAAAGGAACUGAAGCUCAAACAACAACAGGAACUGAAAAAACUCAAGUCAAUAUGCAAUUAAAGGUUCAGAAGAAGAAUGGUUACAAGCACUGGGUUCAUCAGGAAAGAAGCAGAAAAAUAUUAUUUCUGUCAACAACAAAAAAUCUACAUUAUUGAUUUACCUCCUGUGAUCUCGUAUGCAAGAUUAGUCGAUUAUUAUUUUUACAUAGUUCCCUUGAAAUAUAAGUAGGUGUUUCACUUUACCUUUUAUGGUUUUUAGUUACAUAAACAACAUAUGUUCAUUAAGUAACAUGGAAUACUUACAUUGUAAGAAAAUAAUGGUUUUGAGUUUUCAGUGGUGAGAAGCGGCCAACUAACGAAGAACUGUUUGAGAAACCUUCCAAAAAGAAAAGGCACAAGAAGAAACCUGAUCAUUAAUGUUUAUCUAGUCACAUCUUGAUUUUCACAAAUGAAUAAGUAAAGUGAAUACAAGUCACAUGUGUAUAUAAGCUGGACUUGAUUUUAAGAAGUAAAUAAAAUUAAUGUCUCAUUUAUAAGUAGCA
Non-coding RNA from Zootermopsis nevadensis, 1015 nucleotides. Lineage: Eukaryota; Metazoa; Arthropoda; Insecta; Blattodea; Termopsidae. The record is from RefSeq and is a predicted model, not a curated record.